AAGGAAUAUUGGACAAUGGAGGCAACUCUGAUCCAGCCAUGCCGCGUGCAGGAUGACGGCCCUAUGGGUUGUAAACUGCUUUUAUACGGGAAAAAACCCCACUACGUGUAGAGGGCUGAUGGUACCGUAAGAAUAAGGAUCGGCUAACUCCGUGCCAGCAGCCGCGGUAAUACGGAGGAUCCGAGCGUUAUCCGGAUUUAUUGGGUUUAAAGGGUGCGUAGGCGGAUUUGUAAGUCAGUGGUGAAAUCCUGCAGCUUAACUGUAGAACUGCCAUUGAUACUGCAAGUCUUGAGUACAUAUGAUGUGGGCGGAAUGUGUAGUGUAGCGGUGAAAUGCUUAGAUAUUACACAGAACACCGAUUGCGAAGGCAGCUCACAAAACUGUAACUGACGCUGAGGCACGAAAGCGUGGGGAGUGAAC
Molecule: ribosomal RNA, 420 nt
Filed under: uncultured bacterium
Lineage: Bacteria
Description: bacterial SSU rRNA
Rfam family: Bacterial small subunit ribosomal RNA
Source: RNAcentral